GAUGAACGCUGGCGGCGUGCCUAAUACAUGCAAGUAGAACGCUGAAGGAGGAGCUUGCUCUUCUGGAUGAGUUGCGCACGGGUGAGUAACGCGUAGGUAACCUGCCUGGUAGCGGGGGAUAACUAUUGGAAACGAUAGCUAAUACCGCAUGACAACAGUUAUUGCAUGAUAACUGUUUAAAAGGGGCAACUGCUCCACUACCAGAUGGUCCUGCGUUGUAUUAGCUAGUUGGGGAGGUAACGGCUCACCAAGGCGACGAUACAUAGCCGACCUGAGAGGGUGGUCGGCCACACUGGGACUGAGACACGGCCCAGACGCCUACGGGAGGCAGCAGUAGGGAAUCUUCGGCAAUAGACGGAAGUCUGACCGAGCAACGCCGCGUGAGUGAAGAAGGGUUUCGGAUCGUAAAGCUCGGUUGUAAGAGAAGAACGAGUGUGAGAGUGGAAAGUUCACACUGUGACGGUAUCUUAACAGAAAGGGACGGCUAACUACGUG
RNAcentral lists this ribosomal RNA (495 nucleotides) under uncultured bacterium. Its description in RNAcentral is "partial 16S ribosomal RNA". It matches the Rfam family "Bacterial small subunit ribosomal RNA", at positions 28 to 507 of the family's 1533-position model. The record is from RNAcentral.